RNAcentral lists this ribosomal RNA (434 nucleotides) under uncultured Lachnospiraceae bacterium. Its description in RNAcentral is "bacterial SSU rRNA". It matches the Rfam family "Bacterial small subunit ribosomal RNA", at positions 341 to 792 of the family's 1533-position model. Lineage: Bacteria; Bacillati; Bacillota; Clostridia; Lachnospirales; Lachnospiraceae. The record is from RNAcentral.
ACGGGAGGCAGCGGUGGGGAAUAUUGCACAAUGGGGGAAACCCUGAUGCAGCAACGCCGCGUGAGUGAAGAAGUAUUUCGGUAUGUAAAGCUCUAUCAGCAGGGAAGAUAAUGACGGUACCUGACUAAGAAGCUCCGGCUAAAUACGUGCCAGCAGCCGCGGUAAUACGUAUGGAGCAAGCGUUAUCCGGAUUUACUGGGUGUAAAGGGCGCGUAGGUGGCAUGGUAAGUCAGAUGUGAAAUACCGGGGCUCAACCCCGGAGCUGCAUUUGAAACUGCCAGGCUAGAGUACAGGAGAGGCAAGCGGAAUUCCUAGUGUAGCGGUGAAAUGCGUAGAUAUUAGGAGGAACACCAGUGGCGAAGGCGGCUUGCUGGACUGUUACUGACACUGAGGCACGAAAGCGUGGGGAGCAAACAGGAUUAGAUACCCUGGUA